UGUAGCUAUUUAUCUGAUGUUCAAAAAAAAGUAGCUAUUUAUCUUCUCAGCUGUCCUCCCUCAUCCUCGUCUCUCCCCACCACAUAUUCUUCAGCAUAUCCUCGAUUCCCUUCCUAUCUUCUCUGCCCAGUGGUAGCGGUGCAAGCUCGAUCCAGACCCCUUCUCCUCCUUCGGACCGAGGCCACACACACCACUGAGCUCCUCCUCCUCCUCCCCCUUCCUCCGCACGCGCUCAACGCCAGGUCUAAUCAGGGAGCAACACAGGGCAGCACCUCUCGUUCUUCCUCCCUUCAUCCACUGUCUCUCAGUUCUUUCUUUUUCCCUUGGUCAGGUCAUGCAGGGAGCGCACACGCAGGGGCCUUAGUGGCUGUUGUCGCCGCCACCACACCCGGGCGUUGUCGCGCCACCGCCACCUCCUCCUCCCUCCUAGUUCGUCGGCCGUUGGUGCCCGCCCCCCUGCAUCUGCCACCGCCACCCCCUCUCUGGCUCACCUCCAUGCGUGAGGGCAACGAUGGUAGCGCCCGACGUCCACCGUCCCAGGCCCGUCCCUCGCCGACGGGAGAGUGCCGGUCUGCGGAUUGUAACCUCCUAUUACCGAGGAACUUUUUUAUUCCUUGAAUCACUCUUCCCACUUGCUGGAUUAAUUUCUUUGCUCUAUUCUCUUCUCUGCUUAUUGACUUGUGAUGCAGCAAGGCUGCCGAUGUAUGAAAAUUGACAUAUUAGGUGUAAAAGAGCGAGGUGAGACUAAGGCGGGGCGGUGCAGGAGGCGGCCGGCGGAGCGGGACAGGAGGCCACCGGUGGAGUGCGGCGAGAUAGGAGGCUGCCGGCGGAGCGAGGCGAGGCAGGGCAGGAGGCAGCCGCUGGAGUGUAAAAGAGCAAGGUGAGACUGAGGCGGGGCGGUGCAGGAGGCGGCCGGCGGAGCGGGACAGGAGGCUGCCGGUGGAGCGCGACGAGAUAGGAGGCUGUCGGCGGAGCGAGGCAAGGCAGGGCAGGAGGCGGCCGGCGAAGCACGGUGAGUCGGGGCGACGCAGGAGGCGCCUUCCGGAGCGCGGCGAGGCGGGACGGGAUAGGAGGCGGAUGGCGGAGCAGGAGGCGGGGGAGCAGGAGGCGGGGCAGAGCGCGGAGAGGCAGAGGCGCGACUGUUUUUUCCUUCGUACCGGUUCGGGCUGACUUAUCACGAGGACUGCGGGUUGAAUAACUACAACAGCAGGGACUUUUUUGCGAAAACGCCGAUGACGUACAACAGAAACCUAAUUUGCUUUAUUAUUAGGUAAAGAUUUUUGUGGAUAGUAAUAUCGAAAUAAUAGGUUAGGAAUUAGGUCUGCUCCCACAAGCCAACCUGGCGCCUCCCCCUAGGGCGCGCCCCCCCGGGCUUGUGGGGCCCACCGCCCACUUCUGGCUCCCUCUUGAAGCUUCUAGUGUUACAUAUACUCCAUAAAAAAUCAUCGUAAGUUUUCAUCGUGUUUGGACUUCUGUAGAUGUGGAUCUUCUGCGAAAUCAAAACUUGCAAAAAAACAGGAAUUGACACCAGACACUAAACUAAUAGUUUAGUCCAAAAAAAUUAUAUAAAAUAACAUAUAAAGCAUACAAAAAAUGAUAAUAUAAUAGCACGAAACAAUCAGAAAUUAUGGAUGCGUUGGAGACGUAUCGAUGAGCCACAAAUGUCAUGCACAAUAUGACCGCGCACCUAACCCACAAACAUCCGUGAAACCACAAGUGUCGGCUCUGAUACCAACUUGUAAUGCCCCAAAAACACCCGCCGGUUACUGGUUGUUACUCCUGGCGGGAUCUAGACUAGCCUCACAGAGCAACACUAGUCUUUCUGCGCACUUUGUCCUCACUUGUGCGCAUCUGGGACCAACUUCUAUGUCGGUCAUCUAUCCUGAAAUUGCUCUAAGCUGAGCACGCUUAACUUUGGAGUUCUUUUGAAUGGGCUCCCAAAAGAGAAAUAAUUUCUUGUUGAUAUGAGUAGUCUAUCAUUCGUAUUAAGCCAGGCUCUCACACUGGUAGGCGGCGGUGCACGCCCUCUCUCUCAAGCAAAAAGGAAGAUCAAGGAACAUCCACCUGUCGGUGCCCUAGAAGCCGCGUCUGCCUUAUGCCGCUCCUGCUCCUUGAACCACGCUAUAGGGAAACCCCAGGCUCACACUCUCGCACGUUUAGAUCCCGUUGCAGCUUCAUGUGCAACUCUGCCUGAUAGCGGAGGUCAGCCUCAACACCUGUCGCUGGAUCUAACGGGCGCUCGCAUUGGGGUUCUGAUAUGUCUUCAACGUAUCUAUUUUUUUGAUUGUUCCAUGUUAUUAUAGUAUCAAUCUUGGAUUUUUUUGUGCAAUUAUAUGCUAUCUUAUAUUAUUUUUUGGGACUAACCUAUUAACUUAGUGCUUUGUGCCAGUUGUUAUUUUUUUGCCUGUUUUUGGUUGUCCAGAAAAUCAAUACCAAAUGGAGUCCAAAUGCUACAAAAAGAAAAUAGAAGAUUGACUUUGGAACAUGUUAUGCAAAAGAAAAUCAGUCCAAACAGAGUCCAAAUGGUACAAAAAGAAGAUUGACUUUGGAUUCCAAAAAGAAAAUAAGUCCAAACGGAGUCCAAAUGCUACAAAAGGAAAACAGAGUCCAAAUAUAUAAACACUUUUGCUCUUCUUUUGGACUCUAAAUUGCAUGAUUUGAAUGAAAUUAACCCGGACUGACACUGUUUUCAGCAGAACUACCAUGGUGUUAUUUUUGUGCAGAAAUAGAAGUUCUCGAAAUUGGAUGGGACUUUUUGGAGAUUUAUUUUGGAAUAAAAGAAAAAUACUGGAGCAAAGACCCACCGGAGGGGGGGGGGGUGGCUGCUGCCCACUAGGCACCAGGGUGCGCCUCCCCCCUCUAGCGCGCCCUAGUGGGCAGUGGGGCCCACGAGGCUCCGCUGACCCUAACCUGUAUAUUAUAAAUUCCUAUUUCCCGAGGAAAAAAUCAGAUAGGAAGUUUCGUUGCGUUUUACAAUAGGGAGCUGCCGCCACCUCCAUUUCUUCAUCGGGAGGCCAGAUCUGGAGUUCGUUCGGGUCUCUGGAGAGGGAGAUCUUCCAUCUUCUUCAUCAUCAACCAUCCUCCAUCACCAAUUUCAUGAUGCUCACCGCCGGGAGUGAGUAAUUCCUUCGUAGGCUUGCUGGACGGUGAUGGGUGGGAUGAGAUUCAUCAUGUAAUCGAGUUAGUUUUGUUAGGAAACAUGCCCGUGCGUUGCUACGGGGUUGAGGGAAAAUUGUGGGAGAGAGAGGGGUGCAUGGACGACUUCUGGCGAGUGCAUUUUUUUCUCAACUUUGAAGCACAUUUUGACAGAGUUUAGUAACUAAUUCAAAGGAUAGUAAGAUGCACAUUGUUUUUUGUCAGACUUCAAUAUGACGUUGUAGGUUAGACCAUCAAUAUAUAUUGGCCAUGCAUAUCUCACGUGUAAAUUAACCAGCAUGCUGAUAAUGAAAAAAUCAUACACGCAACACUUAUGUUGAGUUACUUGUAUUACACAAUAAAAAUGUUGGAUACUUCGUCUAGUGUCUAAGAAUAUCGUGUGUGUGCUAACCGUGAAGUCCUUGUCGUAUAGAUGUAAUAACUUCCUGCUGGCGAUAUAUGCAGGAUUCUCCCUCGCAAUUGAGUCUCUUUACUUAGUGAGUUGAGCCUCAAUUCACGGUUAAUUGUAAUUCACUUUAUUCUUGUUUUCUAUUGUUCUAGUUGUAUAUAUGCGUAUUUUUGCCUUUCCCAUGCGUUUUUUUUUAUCUUACGUGUUUGCUCCAUGUUUGCAUAUUUCUUCUUCCCUCGUGUAUAUUUUUUUGCAAAUGGGUCGAAUCUUUGAUUCUUUUAUUUGCUUGAUAGGCUUCAUGAAAUUUUUGUAGUUUUUUUCUAUUUUUCUUCAUUGGUCAUCCAUACAUACCACUCUCUAUCUUUUUUUCCUUCUUUGUUACAUGAAAUCCAUGAUUCGAGAUUGCCGUCCAAAUUGCUUGCAUGCAUGAUAGUUUUGUAUACCAUAUGAAGUUGUUAUUGAUUAACUAACGAAUAUAAAAUAUGCAUCAUAAAUAGAGCAUAUGUAGGUACUAAUAAAUAAUCUAAUCACGCUGGACAUAAGCACCAGAAUGUAUGUGUUGUUUGCAUGCUAGAGUAUCAUGUUUUUUCUUGAAACAAUUUAGAAAGCAGGCAAAUUAACCAUUGCAGUGCUAUCAAACAAUAAAAAUCUCGUACAUGCAACACUUCCAAAGUAAUUUUAUCUGGAUGAAAUUGUUCUUGUUUCUCCAUGGCAUCAAUGUUCGGGUUAAAAGGAUGUAUAAGAUGGUUGCAUCGUUUCUUCGUACCACCUUCAACAUAACCAUCUUCAGGGACAUCUGUAAAAAACAUCUUCAGAGAUGUCAAGCAUGACAUCUUCUUACUGAUGGAGAACAACAAUUUUAUUGAGAGCAA
This is an RNA transcript of Triticum aestivum (bread wheat), 4416 nucleotides long. RefSeq lists it as uncharacterized. The transcript is spliced from 2 exons. The record is from RefSeq and is a predicted model, not a curated record. Lineage: Eukaryota; Viridiplantae; Streptophyta; Magnoliopsida; Poales; Poaceae.